GUCCGCCUGCUGCCAGCGGAGCCCUCCGCCCCGCGCUCGUUCGCUGGUUCGCAGCCUCGGGUGUGUGUCCAGGGGCCGCUUGCAUAAACUCUGUGUUACCGUUCAAUCUUUCCCAGAAUCAGAGUCUUUUCCGAUGAGUCGGCUCUUCAAAUCAGCCCAAGUAUCAGAGCUUCAGCUUCAGCAUCAGUCCCUCCAACAUGUAUUCAGGGUUGAUUUCCUUUAGGAUUGACUGAUUUGAUCUCCUUGUAGGCCAAGGGACUCUCAAGCGUCUUCUCCAGCACCGCAGUUCAAAAGCAUCAGUUCUUCGGCACUGAGACUUCUUUAUGGUCCAAUUCUCACUUCUGUACAUGACUACUGGAAAAACCAUAGCUUUGACUAGAUAGACCUUUGUCAGCAGAGUGGUAUCUCUACUUUUUAAUAUGCUGUCCAGGUUUGUCAUAAUUUUCGUCCAAGGAGCAAGCAUCCUUUAAUUUCAUGGCUGCAGUCACCGUCUGCAGCUAUUUAAUUGCUCCCUUUUGACAAAUGGACUGCAGACAUGGGAGAAGAUGGCUUUGGGGAGGCUGAGGAGUGGAGGUAGGGGAGACAGAACUCUUUGUACAUCAUUGCAACUUUUCUGAAAUAAUAGUCUGGAUGAGCUAAACCUAUCCAAAGUAAAAACUUCCUUUUCAUGAAGUCAACAUGAAUUUUGGCCCAGAUGGGGCUGUGUCUCUGGGGGAGGCUUAUGCUUCAGGCUACAGAAUACACGGAGCCCUUUGUCACCCUCGAGAAUCGGUGACGUUGGGUCAGGGGGCCUUGGCUCACCAGACAUGAGUGUAAGGCCGCCUCGGGGCCAAGAGGAUUGGAGGGAGGAGCAGGCUUGGGAACAAGAGGGAUAAGUACCCAACCCUUUCCUUUUUCUCCCCCUCUCCUCUGGAUUACCAGAAAGUCUUGUUGGUUCUGCCUCCAAAAUGCAUCCUGAUUUUGUUCUCUCUACUACCUGGCACCACCCAGCCUUCAUCCCUGCUCCAACCCAUCCCUCUGGCCUCUUCAGCCUCGUCUCCUCCAUCACUCUGUUCCAGCCACCCUGACCCCCUUGUCCAGGACUUUUCAGCCUCCGGGCCUUUGCACUGGCUAUUCCAUCUGCC
Bos taurus (domestic cattle) is the source of this 1124-nucleotide long non-coding RNA. NCBI's taxonomy places the organism in Eukaryota, Metazoa, Chordata, Mammalia, Artiodactyla, Bovidae. The record is from Ensembl.